Tigriopus californicus is the source of this 672-nucleotide long non-coding RNA. RefSeq lists it as uncharacterized. The transcript is spliced from 3 exons. NCBI's taxonomy places the organism in Eukaryota, Metazoa, Arthropoda, Copepoda, Harpacticoida, Harpacticidae. The record is from RefSeq and is a predicted model, not a curated record.
UGUCUUUUCCAAUGGAAUCUACAGGGCAAACGCAAAGGGAGGAGAAGAUGAAGAAGAAAAAGAAGAGGAAGAAAUUGAGCGAAACUCUUGCUUCUCCAGGGUACUCUAUGUUCUUUUUGAUGUAUGGAGCAGCACUGGCCCACUCCAAAGGCAUCUGGCAAACUCCCUGCUAGCCACCGAACACGCUCUACAAGCACGAUGGAAGGGGAUACUCUUUCCGAAACACACCACCAACAUCACACAGAACUCGCCAAAUUCCGGAAAACAUCUGACAAACCCUCAAGUUUGGGAUGGUUCAAUUCGUACCCAAGAUUUUAAAUGACUCAUCCCUUAGUGUUGGGGGGAGGGAGAUCGGCACCCUUGGCUUUGGCUCCAAACUAACCACAAGUUGAGUUACCUUGCCAAGGGAAUUAAUGAGAGAGAGUACAAACAGACGAACAUAGAAUCGGUGCAUCAAAUACGUCUUCAAUCAUCGUGACGAGAUUUGUCUCAAGCAUUGUGAAAUGGACAGAGUGGAGGAGGACACGCGUUUUAGAUGUGUCUGUCUUCGUUCCUUUUUGCCCUCCUUCUUUCAAUCCUCACCCUUCUGUGUUCCAAACCGAAAAAUGUUCGAAGUGAAUCCUUGACAAGAGAAGCACUUAAAAAACUUUGUCAGCCAUCUCGUGAUGAAAU